Molecule: non-coding RNA, 619 nt
Organism: Xyrichtys novacula (pearly razorfish)
Lineage: Eukaryota; Metazoa; Chordata; Actinopteri; Labriformes; Labridae
Source: the annotation of a GenBank genome assembly
UUGUUUUGGCGAGUUUGAACGUUUUUGAGCAUGUGUAAUGGCAUGAAUGCGUUAAGCUGUUGUUUUAGUCUUCUUUUGAUGAGUUUGGCUUGUUGUUAUGAACAUUGUUCGUUUUGGCGAGUUUGAACGUUUUUGAGCAUGUGUAAUGGCAUGAAUGCGUUAAGCUGUUGUUUUAGUGUUCUUUUGAUGAGUUUGGCUUGUUGUUAUGAAAAGUGUUUGUUUUGGCGAGUUUGAACGUUUUUGAGCAUGUGUAAUGGCAUGAAUGCGUUAAGCUGUUGUUUAAGUGUUCUUUUGAUGAGUUUGGCUUGUUGUUAUGAAAAGUGUUUGUUUUGGCGAGUCUGAACGUUUUUGAGCAUGUGUAAUGGCAUGAAUGCGUUAAGCUGUUGUUUUAGUGUUCUUAUGAUGAGUUUGGCUUGUUGUUAUGAACAUUGUUCGUUUUGGCCAGUUUGAACGUUUUUGAGCAUGUGUAAUGGCAUGAAUGCGUUAAGCUGUUGUUUUAGUGUUCUUUUGAUGAGUUUGGCUUGUUGUUAUGAACAUUGUUCGUUUUGGCCAGUUUAAGGUUUUUGAGCAUGUGUAAUGGCAUGAAUGUGUUGAAUUAGUAAUCCCUCGUGUUAAGCCG